UGGAGAUCGGCCUGGGCGUUGUCAGGGCAGAGCAGCAGACAGUGCUAGAGCCAGACCAGUACAGCCUGGGGUCCUAUGCAGCCAUGGCCCUGGCCCAGGACGUG
RNAcentral lists this long non-coding RNA (104 nucleotides) under Cavia porcellus (domestic guinea pig). Its description in RNAcentral is "lncRNA (ENSCPOG00000038667.1)". The record is from RNAcentral. Lineage: Eukaryota; Metazoa; Chordata; Mammalia; Rodentia; Caviidae.